Molecule: ribosomal RNA, 703 nt
Filed under: uncultured Gammaproteobacteria bacterium
Lineage: Bacteria; Pseudomonadati; Pseudomonadota; Gammaproteobacteria
Description: bacterial SSU rRNA
Rfam family: Bacterial small subunit ribosomal RNA
Source: RNAcentral
AGUCGAGCGGUAACAGGUGUAGCAAUACAUGCUGACGAGCGGCGAACGGGUGAGUAAUGCUUUGGAAUCUUCCCAGUAGUGGGGAACAACCAGUCGAAAGAUUGGCUAAUACCGCAUACGUCGGAGACGAGAAAGCGGGGGAUCGUAAGACCUCGCGCUAUUGGAUGAGCCAAAGUCGGAUUAGCUAGUUGGUGAGGUAAUGGCUCACCAAGGCGACAAUCCGUAGCUGGUCUGAGAGGACGACCAGCCACACCGGAACUGAGACACGGUCCGGACUCCUACGGGAGGCAGCAGUGGGGAAUAUUGGACAAUGGGGGAAACCCUGAUCCAGCGACGCCGCGUGUGUGAAGAAGGCCUGCGGGUUGUAAAGCACUAUUAGUGGGGACAAAAAGUCACAGGCUAAUAACUUGUGAUCUUGAUUUAACUCACAGAAAAAGCACCGGCUAACUCUGUGCCAGCAGCCGCGGUAAUACAGAGGGUGCGAGCGUUAAUCGGAAUUACUGGGCGUAAAGCGCACGUAGACGGUUUGGUAAGUCAGAUGUGAAAUCCCCGGGCUCAACCUGGGAACUGCAUUUGAUACUGCCUGGCUAGAGUAUCGAAGAGGGAAGUGGAAUUUCCGGUGUAGCGGUGAAAUGCGUAGAUAUCGGAAGGAACACCAGUGGCGAAAGCGACUUCCUGGUCGAAUACUGACGUUCAUGUGCGA